This 345-nucleotide unclassified non-coding RNA is filed under the name Hevea brasiliensis (rubber tree). Lineage: Eukaryota; Viridiplantae; Streptophyta; Magnoliopsida; Malpighiales; Euphorbiaceae. The record is from RNAcentral.
GCCCUCUAAUAAUACCCUCGAAAACACUCGGGAGCGUGGUCGCUGGCUGCCAGUGGCCUCAGUAUUUGGCAACUCGUGAGAGCCGCUCAGAGAAGUUGAACUAACGGCACCAGUGUGUAGUUGCUGUGGGUUAUGGCCCAAUCCAAUACUAUUCCUAAUUCUCCUAAGUGCUUCAGCAACUGGUAUAUGAGACAAUCCCCGAGUGACACGCUGCUGUCUAACACUCUCGACUCUAUUUGCUUUUGGCCUUGGUGGUAAUUCGAAAGCAGAGUGGACUUGGUUGGAGCAGUAACUGUUGGCAUUGCCAUAAAUUGGAGUAAUAUUUGCAUCAGUGACCUCUCCCUU